UGGGGAAUAUUGGACAAUGGGCGCAAGCCUGAUCCAGCCAUGCCGCGUGAGUGAAGAAGGCCUUAGGGUUGUAAAACUCUUUCGCCGGGGAAGAUAAUGACGGUACCCGGAGAAGAAGCUCCGGCUAACUUCGUGCCAGCAGCCGCGGUAAUACGAAGGGAGCUAGCGUUGUUCGGAAUUACUGGGCGUAAAGCGCACGUAGGCGGACUUGUCAGUCAGGGGUGAAAUCCCAAGGCUCAACCUUGGAACUGCCUCCGAUACAGCAAGCCUAGAGAUCGGGAGAGGUGUGUGGAAUUCCUAGUGUAGAGGUGAAAUUCGUAGAUAUUAGGAAGAACACCAGUGGCGAAGGCGGCUCACUGGCCCGAUACUGACGCUGAGGUGCGAAAGCGUGGGGAGCAAACAGGAUUAGAUACCCAUGUAGUCCCUGAGCGGGCUGGCAAGGCGCAU
RNAcentral lists this ribosomal RNA (447 nucleotides) under uncultured bacterium. Its description in RNAcentral is "bacterial SSU rRNA". It matches the Rfam family "Bacterial small subunit ribosomal RNA", at positions 355 to 825 of the family's 1533-position model. The record is from RNAcentral.